Molecule: long non-coding RNA, 452 nt
Organism: Hippocampus comes (tiger tail seahorse)
Lineage: Eukaryota; Metazoa; Chordata; Actinopteri; Syngnathiformes; Syngnathidae
Exons: 3
Source: RefSeq, a predicted model, not a curated record
GGCUUUCAUGUACUCUGCUCCCAUGGGCCUUGGGGUAGAGUUGUACAAUUGAAAAUGCUUGUCCGUGUGUGCGUGUGUGUGUGUGUGUGUGUGUGUGUGUGUAAAAUUAUUAUCAAGGAUUUCAGGGGAGAGGCACUAAGAAUGUGAUUACUCUUUGGGUCAUGGAGUACAGAAGAGGGGGGUGCUGGGGCCUAUUCCAGCUGACGGAGUGCGAAAGGCGGACUACACCCUGAACCAUUCGAACAUUCGACAUUCAAUCCGGGUCUCUCGCAAAAGCGAUGGAUUUCAACUAACUCUUCCAAGACUUUUGCAGGGGGGUGAAAGUAUGACCUUGAGGGGCACCCGCCACUGUAAACAAUGUGAACUGUGGCACAGUGGUGUCCUCAUUACAGCAAAACCAAGGCAUGUGUGCCACCAUGUGCACAUGAGCAAAGCCUUCUGCUGCAUUCUCU